Molecule: small nucleolar RNA, 107 nt
Organism: Prosopis cineraria
Lineage: Eukaryota; Viridiplantae; Streptophyta; Magnoliopsida; Fabales; Fabaceae
Source: RefSeq, a predicted model, not a curated record
UGUUCAUGAUUAGGACAGCUUCUUACCAACUCCUUGAAUCGUUCCUAAGCUUCAUAGAAAUGUUCCCCUAGUUGUUAUUCAAAAUUGAGAAGCUCACCUCUCAAUGU